UACGAAGGGGGCUAGCGUUGCUCGGAAUUACUGGGCGUAAAGCGCACGUAGGCGGUCUUUUAAGUCGGGGGUGAAAUCCUGGAGCUCAACUCCAGAACUGCCUUCGAUACUGGAAGACUUGAGUCCGGGAGAGGUGAGUGAAACUGCGAGUGUAGAGGUGAAAUUCGUAGAUAUUCGCAAGAACACCAGUGGCGAAGGCGGCUCACUGGCCCGGUACUGACGCUGAGGCACGAAAGCGUGGGGAGCAAACAGG
This 253-nucleotide ribosomal RNA is filed under the name uncultured bacterium. RNAcentral's name for it is "partial 16S ribosomal RNA". It matches the Rfam family "Bacterial small subunit ribosomal RNA", at positions 524 to 776 of the family's 1533-position model. The record is from RNAcentral.